RNAcentral lists this unclassified non-coding RNA (755 nucleotides) under Hevea brasiliensis (rubber tree). Lineage: Eukaryota; Viridiplantae; Streptophyta; Magnoliopsida; Malpighiales; Euphorbiaceae. The record is from RNAcentral.
AAAACAUCCCUUCUCUCCUUUCACUUUGCUGUGGGCAGAGGAAUAAAGGGAGAGUCUCUUCUUAGACACUUCUUCCUCUUUUAACCAUCUUGCUGAAUUUGCAGGUAGAAAAUAGAGUUAAGACAUGACUACUGCCUGCAAGGGAUUUCUUGAUGAACAAUUUCUCCAGCUUGAGGAACUCCAAGAUGAUGCUAAUCCAAAUUUUGUGGAGGAAGUUGUCACAUUGUACUAUCGGGAUUCAGCUAGACUAAUCCUUAACAUAGAGCAAGCAUUGGAGAGGAAUCCUCUUGAUUUUAACAAGUUAGAUAGCCUUAUGCAUCAAUUCAAGGGAAGCAGCUCAAGCAUUGGAGCCAAAAAGGUGAAAGCUGAGUGCACUCUCUUUAGGGAAUAUUGCAGGGCAGGAAAUGGAGAAGGAUGCAUUAGAACAUUCCAACAACUCAAGAAAGAGUAUGCAACAUUGAAAAAGAAGCUUGAGGCCUAUUUUCAGCUAGCAAGGCAAGUUGGGCCAGCUGAGACUGCAUGUCGCCCCAAGUAAGAAAUCAGUGGCAGAAGGAAGACAUGGCUGGAAUCUAUCUGAAAAUGAUUUUGUAAUUGGACGCCCAAUAAUCUACCCUAAUAUAGAAUGGGUUUUUAUAUUGGGUUUAUUAGGCUAUAGUUUCCGCUUAUUUCGCAGCUUUUAUAGAUAUAAUAAUAAGUGGUUUUCAAAAUCCGUUGAUAAACAAAACUAUGCUCGACUUCGUUAUUGGCCAUUUUCU